CUGGGACAAUGUGGCUGUGUUAGUUGAUGAAACACUUAUACCACAAGAGCUGUGUAGCCCGAUCCUACAGACCCCAACACACCAGAACAUAAAACAAAAGGUCCUUCUAAUAAGGAAUAAGAACGUUGGAAACAGACAAUCCGUUCCUGAACAAAGGAUCCGUAAGGGUGAUGGCUACUCGAUAGCACAUAGGGCUGAAAUCAACCAUGAUAAAAGGCCGUGUGCUUCUCUAAACCUCUCUGUGAAAGCUGCUACCCCUAAAAACGUUCACCAUCGUAAGCAUAAGAAGCAAUUUAUUGAGCCUGAGCCAUACCAGAAAGGCUUCCCGCCCAAAAGACGCAACCAUUCCUUUGUUCCGGUCUCAUCUUACCCGGCCACUGUAUCUUAUGAUCCUAACACAGUUGCAGAGCAAGUAACGACGACCGAAGACUUAGAGUCCUUGCAUUUGUUGUCGUCUAAGUGUGAUUUCACACAUAGUACACCAAAGCCCUGCCACCC
This is a long non-coding RNA of Perca fluviatilis (European perch), 498 nucleotides long. RefSeq lists it as uncharacterized. The record is from RefSeq and is a predicted model, not a curated record. NCBI's taxonomy places the organism in Eukaryota, Metazoa, Chordata, Actinopteri, Perciformes, Percidae. The transcript has 5 exons.